Molecule: ribosomal RNA, 503 nt
Filed under: uncultured bacterium
Lineage: Bacteria
Description: partial 16S ribosomal RNA
Rfam family: Bacterial small subunit ribosomal RNA
Source: RNAcentral
AUUGAACGCUGGCGGCAGGCUUAACAUAUGCAAGUCGAGCGGGGUGAUGGUGCUUGCACUAUCACUUAGCGGCGGACGGGUGAGUAAUGCUUAGGAAUCUGCCUAUUAGUGGGGGACAACAUCUCGAAAGGGACGCUAAUACCGCAUACGUCCUACGGGAGAAAGCAGGGGAUCACUUGUGACCUUGCGCUAAUAGAUGAGCCUAAGUCGGAUUAGCUAGUUGGUGGGGUAAAGGCCUACCAAGGCGACGAUCUGUAGCGGGUCUGAGAGGAUGAUCCGCCACACUGGGACUGGGACACGGCCCAGACUCCUACGGGAGGCGGCAGUGGGGAAUAUUGGACAAUGGGGGGAACCCUGAUCCAGCCAUGCCGCGUGUGUGAAGAAGGCCUUAUGGUUGUAAAGCACUUUAAGCGAGGAGGAGGCUCUUUUGGUUAAUACCCAAGAUGAGUGGACGUUACUCGCAGAAUAAGCACCGGCUAACUCUGUGCCAGCAGCCGCGGUAA